Long non-coding RNA from Gossypium raimondii (Peruvian cotton), 804 nucleotides. RefSeq lists it as uncharacterized. Lineage: Eukaryota; Viridiplantae; Streptophyta; Magnoliopsida; Malvales; Malvaceae. The record is from RefSeq and is a predicted model, not a curated record. The transcript is spliced from 2 exons.
GCUAACCCUAAGCAUCUAUACGCUUGGUUGAGUUUAGUGUUGUAAGUUAAGUGAGCUAAAAUGUCAUUAAAUUAAUUAAAAAAAAUUAUAUUUUAUCCACACAUUUAUAUAAAUAAAGGCCAUUUUCAUGAUGAGUCUUCCAAAUAUAGCAUUGUAAGUUGAGGGAUGGUUAACUACUAAGAAUUCCACCAUUUCAAAUAUUGUUUUGUGAUGCCCAUCAUCCAGCAUAUCUAGCAGAACAACUGAUUCUUUUACCUAUAUACGUUGGUUAGUGAACUUAUUAGCAAAUCUAUGUGCCUUUUCAUACAAGGAUAGCAACUUAUCCAGCGGGUCAUUUAUCAACGGGUACCCUCAAGUAGUCAUGACCUACCACUGCAAUGAAUGUUUGAUUUGCCCAAUCAUUUGUUGCACCUUUAGAAUUCAUGGUUGCGGAGCUAAACCUACGAGCAAACUCCUUUAGAGGUUCGCCUUCUUUCUACUUGAUAGAGAAAAGGUGCGUCGAACUCUGUUUUAGUGUCUUGUUGACAAAAAAUCUACUCACGAAUAGAUUCGGUAACUGAUCAAAAGAAUGGAUGGAUCCCUUUGGUAGAGACAAAUACCAAGCUCUUGCAACAUCUUUUAGUGUCAUUGAAAAGGCACCACACUUCACUACAUCAAAGGGGUUUAUAUGUUCAUGUGAUUAUUGCAAUAUGUCAAGUGGUCUUUAGGGUCACCCUAUCCAUUAUAUAUCACCUUAGGUAGCUUGAUGCUGAGAUGUGCUGAUAUAAAAUUAAAUAAAGAUUAAAUCUAAAUUUUCCAAUGCAA